Molecule: long non-coding RNA, 1047 nt
Filed under: Pogona vitticeps (central bearded dragon)
Lineage: Eukaryota; Metazoa; Chordata; Lepidosauria; Squamata; Agamidae
Description: lncRNA (ENSPVIG00000002342.1)
Source: RNAcentral
GACAAAUAUGCAACUGUUUGUUACCUAGUAAAUGCGGACAAAGAUGACUAAUCUAGCAGAUUCUCUGACCUUUCAUCUCCAUCUCCUUGGCUAGUGAUAGAACAUGCUUAAAAUGUCAAGGAAGAAGUAGUUUACAGAAUGUUUUAAAGGGAGAAUGCUACUGGGGUGGCUGGUGAUUAUAAGUUUGCAGAGGUGGUGAAUCCACUCCAGAUUUUAGCACCAAUCUAAUCAAGAAUUAUUAGGUUUUCUCUCUAUCAGUAAUUAGAAAGCAUAAGGGACUUGUGAAAAAGAGAUCAAAACUGUAUUUAAAAAUAGAAUAGUUAUUUUAUUAGCAAAAUUGCAGAUACAUUUUAGGUGUAGCUAGUGUUCUGAUCUUGUUGUCUAUUUAGUGCAUCCCAAGAUAAUUUUGCACCAAACAUCAGUCUAAUUAUUUAUUUUCAGUUUAUUGCUUUUGGAAACCUAGAAAAGAGAUACAGUUCCUGGUUUUGAUGAAAGAAGAUUGUGUUCUCAGCACUUCAAAAGAAAACAUAAAUGCCAUGGGAAGUAAAACAUCCUAUAAAUUUUAUUUUUCAACAUUUCUUCAUUUUCCAUCAUUUGUUCUUCCUUUGCAGGACAUGGGAAAGGCUGGGCCCUGAAGCUUUCCUUCAGGGACACUGCUAAUUGAUCACUGAAUGUGGAAAUACAGAUAUUAUCCUUGUGCUUUCAAGAACUGCAGCCUCUCUCUUUGGCCAGCUUCUUAUUGCCAGCUGAUUCAAUUACUGAAUGGAGCCCAAAUUACAGCUGCUGGAAGGCUGUUCUUCCUCUCUGCCAAUAAUAUUCCACACUGUGCUUUAUCUUCCUGGCUGACAGCCACUUUGUCCCACAAUGGAGAGGGAGGAAUCCCCUUGGAUGAGAAACACAGCAGAGUUACAGCCAGAAGGCCUGCCUGCUUAUACCAUAUGGAGAAGGCUAAGGUACUUAUGGGUACAUCCCAUAUCCAAACAGGAAGACCUUUCAUAGCUCUAAUUCUUCUUAUGCAUGGAAAGUUGCCUGUAUUGUAACAGAGUC